GGUGGCGAUAGCGGAGGGGAAACACCCGUUCCCAUUCCGAACACGGAAGUUAAGCCCUCCAGCGCCGAUGGUA
RNAcentral lists this ribosomal RNA (73 nucleotides) under Caldanaerobacter subterraneus subsp. tengcongensis MB4. Lineage: Bacteria; Bacillati; Bacillota; Clostridia; Thermoanaerobacterales; Thermoanaerobacteraceae. The record is from RNAcentral.